CAACACAGAUCCACCAGACUCUCUGAGGAGGCGGUCACUUACUGUCAGUCGUGCUUUCAAUAUGUUGGAUUGACUUUAACGGUAACAAAUCAACUUAAAGCGGGGAAUUAUUUCAAAAGACAGAACAAUUAGUGCGGUUUGAGGAGGAAGUUGAGGGUGUGUAAUGGGUUAACGUCGGCAGGCCUCUCCUCACCUUUAGUGCGCGUCACCCGGCUCCGUAAAGUGGUCCCACCAUCCACACCGAAGGGGCGAAACACCGCCGCCAGACGCGCACCUCUCCUCGGUCUGACUCGCAUCAUCCUGCCGGUCUCCGCCCCGCUGCUCCAUCACCGCACGCGAACCACAAAACACCGGGAACUGAAGGAAUAAGUGUGAUUUACCGCAAACAUGAAGGACCGCAUGCAAGAACUUAAACAUGGGAAGGAGACAACAGAGGAGGAGGAUGAAGUCGCUGUGGGGAUGGACAAAGGCUUUAUGGAUGAAUUCUUUGAACAGGUGGAGGAGAUCCGGGGUUUUAUUGAGUCUCUGGCAGAGAAAGUUGAGGAGGUGAAGAGGAAUCACAGCGCCAUCCUCGCUUCACCCAACCCAGAUGAGAAAACCAAGGCGGAGCUGGAGGAUCUCAUGGCAGACAUCAAGAAGUUGGCCAACAAAAUACGCUCCAAAUUAAAGAGUAUCCAAAACUCCAUUGAGCAAGAAGAAAGUCAGAACAAGUCAUCAGCUGACCUGAGGAUACGUAAGACGCAGCACUCCACACUGUCUCGUAAGUUUGUCGAGGUGAUGUCAGAGUACAACACCACCCAGUCGGAUUACAGGGAGCGCUGCAAGGGACGCAUUCAGAGACAGCUGGAGAUCACUGGGAGAAACACAACAAACGAGGAGCUGGAGAGCAUGUUGGAGAGUGACAACCCGGCUAUCUUCACCUCCGGGAUCAUUAUGGACAAUAUCACAGAGCAAGCUAUGAAUGAGAUUGAGACACGGCACACUGAGAUCAUCAAGCUGGAAAACAGCAUCCGAGAGCUUCACGACAUGUUCAUGGACAUGGCCAUGCUGGUGGAGAGCCAGUUGCAGUGGAUGCAUGAAGAACUGGUGAACUGGUGAACAACAUCGAGCGAAGUGUGCUGGGCGCUCAAGAAUAUGUGCAGCAGGCAAAGGACAACAUCCCAAAAUGCAAAAAGUUCAAAAAGACAGGCAAACGGAAGGUGAUGCUGAUAGCGGGUUGUAUUGCAGCAGGUGUGAUCGUCCUCAUUAUUUGCCUCGCAGCUGGACUCAGUUAGGACCCCUAGAAAUCCAUAGAGCUGUCGAUGCCUCCCUCUCAGUGUGAAAUGUAGAAAGUGAGCUCUGUCUUGCGCAGUCAGUUACUGCUAACUGCUAAAGACAGUCGAAUAGUAUGUAAUCAAAUAUUUUACAUUUUAUUUACAGUUUUUAUAUAUAUAAUAUAUAUAUAUAUACUUUUUUCAAAUACCUUGAGGAACUUUCUUGUGCUUUGUGUCUGCUUGUGUCAUGAUUCACGUACUUUUGUCAUGUGCAUGUUCUGCAUCCUGUAUUACAUGUUUUUGUAUACAUACACAACUCUGCAGAGGUGUGAUUUCAUUCAUUGAUCAUUUAAAAAAUGGUCUUGAAAUAAGAGCAAAAUAUUUUUUUAAGUGAUAAAAUGUUUCCCUUUAUAAAGUAUUAAGGAAAUAUUUCUACUGUUUGGGAAAUACACUAAUUUGCAUUUAGGUGAGAGGAUUGGUUAAGAUGAUGUGUAACAACAAGUUGCAUAACGUUUUCUUAGCAUAGAGCAGUGACUUCUGAUGUUAUUCACUUAUUCAAAAAGUUUCACGUUUUUGGGAAAGUUUGAAACAUAUAAAAUAUGUAUGGUUUACUUUUUUUAAAGUUGUUUGCAGUACCACGAGUACCCAUCGCACUGAUUGGCAUGAAAGUAUUUAUUUUGACAUUUAUUUUUGGAAUUCAAAUUAACUGAACUUUAUCAAUGAGCUUAAAGACGUGCUCAUAUGUGUGUGUUGUUUUACCUUUGGACAUAGCCACACACUUUUCCCCUUUAUUAUUUAAAUUAAGCUAAGCUGACCGGAUGCUGGCUUCAUACUCGUUUACAAUAGUGUGGUAUCAAUCCUCUCAUAUAACUUUGUUUCAUACUCAAAGAAAAAAUGGACAAUCUUGGUAAAAAUCGAGCCGGUGUAUAAGACUGCUGUAAGCCUUUUUCUUGAUGUAGUUCCACGCAUAUUAUACAAAUAGUGGCUUUAAAUAUGAAAAAGAUUCACAUUUGUGGAUUGUGUAAAUACAUGUUGUUAAAUUAUUUAUGUUUUUUAAAGUAGAUGAUGUGGAAAUGCUUCUUAACCACAGUCACAUUCCAAAACAUCCUCAGAUACAUCCUCAGAUACAUUCAAAGUAUUUAUCCAAAUCUGAAUUUUGUCUUAAUUAAUAAAACAUCUUGUAACAUGUGUUAAAAUAAAAUACAAAAUCAUAUAUCUAACAUGUUUUCCUCUGCUCCCCAUUUGCUGCCAUGGAUGACUGUUUUUCUAUUCUUGUUUACACUUUACAGAAGAAAAUUAUGAUUAUUAUAUGCUGUGUGAUUUUGGGAGUUGUCAUUGCCUCUAUUGUUGGGGGGACGCUGGCUUAAACCUCAACCACAGUCACACAAAGACACACAACCACACACACACAACAGAGCAAAAACACAACCGAUACACAUUUUCUGUUUCCUGUUUUCAUAAAUGCAAAGUUAAAACAUGUUUAGCGCAAGGUGCUUUACAUUACUGACACAUUCUGCGCACGGCGUACAGGGCCAGAUGUGUUUUCGCAUGAGUUGCUACUUUGUAAAUGUGUGGUGCUGCUAGGUUUAUCUGAGUGUUGAAUGUUGUCAACAAUAUAAUGAUGUUUCCAAAAGUGAAUUCUUGAAUGAAAAGUUACUUAGCGACUUGUAACACUAUACUAAUACAUUCCAACUUCCAAAUAUGACAGUUAUUCGGUUGUAAAGUAUAUUUUGUGUUGUACAGGCAAAAAGAUGGGCCACUAAUCUGCAGUGUUUUCAGAGCCACGUUAUCUAUAGAUACAUAUUUAUUUUUAUUUUACUCUCUGUCUCUGAUGUCCUCUACCUCCCUUCAAAAGCUCUGCAUGGUUUGGUUCACUGUAAAGUAGUGUUUAUUUUCUAUUGCAAAGGGGACGACGUGUUGGAUAUUUUGCUUGUAGAAUUGUCACACUGCCAAGUAUCUUUUGUCGUUUAACUUCACUCAUCUGGCCUAACCAGUUGUGUUACGACAUGCUCUAUUUUUGUGUGUGAGUGUGUGCAUCGGAAAGAGGAUAUGUUCAUUUGUAGUUUCAUGUUUGAAAGUACUGAGUGGGAUGAGAACAUGAGCGUUUGAUAUUAACCACCUGUGUCUUUGUUUUGUAUAAAGUGUAAACAGACUCUCUAACACUGCCAGUAUGUUCAAAUAAACUGUUCAAAGUCUAGUCUGAUAUGGAUUGGUAAUUCUGUUCUGUAAGUGGCAAACCCUUGUUGUUUUAUGUAUUUUUAUAAACCACGAGCUUUAAACAGAACAUAUCUUUCUGUCAAGCUACUUUAUUUUUAUGAGUGAACAUGGUGCGUCAGUGAAAGCAUGAACUUAAAGUAGCCCUGUUAAAGACUCUCAUGACAAGCACAGACUGUACCCAUGUGACCAUGUUGCCUACUCAACGUGUUGCCUUUGUGUGGUAUUGUAAUGACAUCGUUUUGUUUGUUUAAUAUGAGUUUAUUUUUUAUUUUCAAGUAAAGUUUGUCUGAAAAAUCCCAUACAGAGUUUGUGCAUUGAUUUUACAAAGACAUGAUGUUUAGGUGUUUAAAAUGGAAAUUAUUGUAUUUUUAAAAACAGUUUCAUAACUGUGGCAUUUCUGAUAAGUCUUAAGUCCCGGUUUCAGAUUUAUGAAGAAAUGUUUCAUAGUUUACAUGUUAGCUGUUGUGUUUAUCUGGGUGUAAACUGUAAUGUGUGGACGUUUGGUGGGCCUGUAAGUAUAGAUUAAAUAAUCAUCAUGAUCAGAGUAAA
Gymnodraco acuticeps is the source of this 4019-nucleotide RNA transcript. It is a transcript of the gene named syntaxin 1A (brain), with no coding region annotated. NCBI's taxonomy places the organism in Eukaryota, Metazoa, Chordata, Actinopteri, Perciformes, Bathydraconidae. The transcript has 11 exons. The record is from RefSeq and is a predicted model, not a curated record.